CUGGCGCUACCAUCAACAACCAAAUUUGUAUGUAUUCCUCAUUUUUUAAGUCAUCAUGUAUUUUACCUACUUGCCUGCUCUAUUCUGCAAGGGACAUUCGAUUUUUUUUGUAGCAUUUCAUCUGUGUACUCGCGAGCGCAUCCAUGCCGCUUUUAAUGCUGAAACAUUAAAAAGUUAUUUUACACCUCCUAUGUACCUGCAAGCUCAUUCUUCUUAUUUGAUAACAUAGCAACUUGUUGCUCUGUUGAUGGGCAUUUUCUUUUUGGAGGUCCAGCAAACUUGAUUACCUCUUCUAUUUGAUAAUAUACUUGCAGCUCCAAGGUCUUCACAGCUCUUUUAACUCAUGUAUAUGUGUUCUGUGAAGAGGUAGCUAAAGUUUAGUACAUUCAGAAGUUAAGCUCCUGAUUUGCAUUCAUUUCUACUACAUCAACGUAAUUUUGGAAUAGAUAGCUCAUGAGUGCCAAAAAGAUGAGGUUGAAUUUGGUUAUCCAGAACAUGAUUUGGUCUUCUUAUUGAUAGCAAGGUGAACCUCAAGAAAAAAUGUUUUAUAGUGGACGUGGAAUAUUUGUGUGGCCUUUUUCCUGAGUGACUUUCGGGUUAUGUAGAGAUUUUUAGAUAUUUUUUCCUCGGUCAGAUUUUGUGUGAGAUGCCCUUUAUCUAAUGUGUACCUUUAAUUCUAUCUUAUGUUGUUAGAUGCUAAUUUUGUGUAAUAGUUUUCGACUGCAAGAUCACCAUAACGAGGCAGCUAUCUUGAUUUCAUGUGUGUUCUUUCGGCACAAAUGUACAAUGUAACUUUUCAUAAUAAUGAUUCCAUGCAUCGUUGGUACCUUUUAGCAUGCUUUUGGAGUUGAGAGAUGAUUUCCUGGUGGAUUUGGCGGUGGUGAUGCUAUAGGUUCAACGAUGUGGGUGCUAGAAGAAGUGCAACUCUUAUCAACAGCGAAAGUCUACUCUUGACAAAGGCCAUGGUUGGUAGCUGGAUCCAAAACGCAAAGAAUAAAGGUUUAUUUUCCUGGAUCUCCUAUGUCGCAGCUGAUACUAUUGUGUUAUGUUGAAGUUUUAUUUUCACUGCUUCCCUUCAUCAUGUGUGAGCUGAGGUACAUUUCACUUCCACCCCCUUCUAUGCUCAAUACUCUUUCUAAAUCUAACAGGGUUCUUACCUGGAGUCUAUAUGUAUGUAGGAUUUUUGAUUGGGAGGGGGCCAGUGUUUGAUUAAUUUAUAGAAUGGUCAAACAUUUCAAGGAUGUCUGUUCCAAUUAAUUUCUAGAAUGCUCUGAGAGACAUAGAUGGAAAUUGCAAUUCUUUACUGUCAUUGUACAUUAUGUAGAUAUAUAUAUUUCACAAAUCUCUGGUCGAAUGUUUGAUCAGGGUUGAGACUCCAUCUCCUUUUGUUUUCUCAUCUAACAUUUUUGCUUUUAAAACACAGAAACUUGGCAAGAAUAAUUGAGAUGCACAUCCGAUUGUGUCAGCGGAUUGUUCCCUGAUUAUAUGGACCUAACGGAUUCAUCUGUAAUAAUGAUGCGGAAAGUAGUCAUACUCAGGAACCUAAAAGAAAAGUAGUCUCUUCCUGAACCAUUCAUGCAGUCAUGGAUGAUGCUAUGAUGCAUGUUCCUGCUUGAUAUAAAUCAGUUUGCAUGCUCUUUUAUUUUUAUAUACGGCCCUGUAUUGUAGUAGUACAAGUAUGUCUUAAUCCUUUUGUUUUAUUUAUCAAUUUUUUAUCCAGGGAUACAAUUUACUUCUACUCUCAUUAUUUUAAAGCUUAUCUAUUUCCAUGGCUCUACAGUUCCUUUGGAAUUCGUAAACAAUCUGAGCAGCUAAAAUAAAGUGGAUGUUGAUUCUCAAUAGUAAGGACCCAUUUCCGAAAUAUUAGUUGACGUGAAUCAUCU
Molecule: long non-coding RNA, 1883 nt
Filed under: Triticum aestivum (bread wheat)
Lineage: Eukaryota; Viridiplantae; Streptophyta; Magnoliopsida; Poales; Poaceae
Description: long non-coding RNA (TAES_LNC021339)
Source: RNAcentral